AAAUGGAACGAGUUGCCCAACGAUUGCUGCCGCAUGCGAUCUACCGCGAAGGAGGCAAUCUAGGUGCACUUGGUGGUCUGGCUAGAGGCAUUUUAGCCCGCCAAGGUCCGCUGUAAGAUCGCUGGGUCAUUACAGCGGCAUAAAUGCACGGGAUCCGGCCGGUUUCUCUCGACGAAAGUGAAGCAGAAGCGCGCGGGAGAAAACUUCACUCACCUGGUGAGCGCGUCGCUCCAGCUGAACAUCCUCUUGAUCCUCUCCCUGUGCUUCGGGUCGGUCUCGAUCUCCAUCACGCCGUCUCUCUCUGUCUGCUGUCCCUCUGGAGGUGGAUGAAAGCCGGAAAUCGAUCGAGAUCUCGUUCCCUUCUCAGAGACGAUGCAUCGUUUCCUCCGGUUCUCGCCGCUUGGAAUACGUCACCGUGAUCCUCGUGCGCGAUUGUCACGCUGUAAAGUCGAACACCGUUUCUUUAUGGUUCUCUGGUUCCUCGACGCCGCGGAAGUGGUUUUUCUCUACUCCGGCUUCGCCGGAUUACACGUUAGCCGGCAAAUAAAACGACUUAUCGAACGCGGCGCCGUACGAAAGUGCCGAGAUCGAGCGUCAUUACCCGCGGUAAAGCCGCGAGGAGACAGACUCUCGUCCUCGCGAAACCGAAGGCGAACGGUCUCUACGUGUGUCCAGUGACUGCGCAACAUUUCUGACAGACGACCAUGCUGGUUAAUGAUAUUGUUCUCUUUUAUUAACGCCAUCGCUGUCCGGACGAACGCACGACGUGCCUCCGAGUUCUAGGAAAACAAUGAUUUGCAGUUCUUCUGCGUGCGGAAGCUCCCCGACCACGCGCGGAGCGAUCGUUGCCCGUCGCUGCGACGAGGGCCGAAAGUCGGCAGAAUCGCGCGAAGGAUUUACAGGAGGAUCGGAAACGUCCUCGACAUUUUUACCAGACACCGGUCACUACGGAAUUCCUGGGAAGGAUGUAACAGUUCGCGGAUGCUGAUAUUUAAAUGUUCGACGAGAAAAAUGCUUGCGCAUUCCUCGGUGCUUCGUUCGUCGACGAACAUCAUCCCUGUGUCCUUUCGAAUCAUUUUUUUCAUUGGGAACAACAACAACAUUUUUCAUUGGAAACGACGACAACAUUUUACAGAGGUAACGUCGGCGACGUAUUUACAGACGCAACGCCGGCUACAUCUUUCAGCGAUAAGUGUCAUGGCGAGUCUGAUCGGUGCCUCAGAGCCGCCAUUCGGGUGCAAAAGGGUUGAGACAGCGGGAUCGUUGGUUCACGACAACGGCUGAAAGCGAAACUGUUUUACAACGUGCGUGCACGUUCGACGGCGUUACGAAGAAAGCGUGCUGUAUAACAAUCCGCCUUUGGAAUAGAAAAUCCGUCCGUCUAA
Long non-coding RNA from Megalopta genalis, 1385 nucleotides. RefSeq lists it as uncharacterized. Lineage: Eukaryota; Metazoa; Arthropoda; Insecta; Hymenoptera; Halictidae. The record is from RefSeq and is a predicted model, not a curated record.